Molecule: ribosomal RNA, 500 nt
Filed under: uncultured bacterium
Lineage: Bacteria
Description: partial 16S ribosomal RNA
Rfam family: Bacterial small subunit ribosomal RNA
Source: RNAcentral
AUUGAACGCUGGCGGCAUGCUUUACACAUGCAAGUCGAACGGUAACAGGGAGCUCGCUCCGCUGACGAGUGGCGAACGGGUGAGUAAUAUAUCGGAACGUACCCAAGAGUGGGGGAUAACGUAGCGAAAGUUACGCUAAUACCGCAUACGAUCUAUGGAUGAAAGUGGGGGAUCGCAAGACCUCAUGCUCCUGGAGCGGCCGAUAUCUGAUUAGCUAGUUGGUGAGGUAAAGGCUCACCAAGGCGACGAUCAGUAGCUGGUCUGAGAGGACGACCAGCCACACUGGAACUGAGACACGGUCCAGACUCCUACGGGAGGCAGCAGUGGGGAAUUUUGGACAAUAGGCGAAAGCCUGAUCCAGCAAUGCCGCGUGAGUGAAGAAGGCCUUCGGGUUGUAAAGCUCUUUUGUCAGGGAAGAAACGGGAGUGGCUAAUAUCCAUUCCUAAUGACGGUACCUGAAGAAUAAGCACCGGCUAACUACGUGCCAGCCGCCGCGGUAA